Molecule: ribosomal RNA, 470 nt
Filed under: uncultured bacterium
Lineage: Bacteria
Description: bacterial SSU rRNA
Rfam family: Bacterial small subunit ribosomal RNA
Source: RNAcentral
CCAGACUCCUACGGGAGGCAGCAGUGGGGAAUAUUGCACAAUGGGCGCAAGCCUGAUGCAGCCAUGCCGCGUGUAUGAAGAAGGCCUUCGGGUUGUAAAGUACUUUCAGCGGGGAGGAAGGCGAUAAGGUUAAUAACCUUGUCGAUUGACGUUACCCGCAGAAGAAGCACCGACUAACUCCGUGCCAGCAGCCGCGGUAAUACGGAGGGUGCAAGCGUUAAUCGGAAUUACUGGGCGUAAAGCGCACGCAGGCGGUCUGGCAAGUCGGGUGGGAAAACCCCGGGGUCAACCUGGGAACUGCAAUCGAAACUGGCAGGCUGGAGUCUUGGAGAGGGGGGUAGAAUUCCAGGUGUAGCGGUGAAAUGCGUAGAGAUCUGGAGGAAUACCGGUGGCGAAGGCGGCCCCCUGGACAAAGACUGACGCUCAGGUGCGAAAGCGUGGGGAGCAAACAGGAUUAGAUACCCUUGUAC